UGGGGAAUAUUGCACAAUGGGGGAAACCCUGAUGCAGCGACGCCGCGUGAACGAAGAAGGUAUUCGUAUCGUAAAGUUCUGUCCUAUGGGAAGAUAAUGACAGUACCAUAGAAGAAAGCUCCGGCUAAAUACGUGCCAGCAGCCGCGGUAAUACGUAUGGAGCGAGCGUUGUCCGGAAUUAUUGGGCGUAAAGGGUACGCAGGCGGUUUAAUAAGUCGAAUGUUAAAGAUCGGGGCUCAACCCCGCAAAGCAUUGGAAACUGAUAAACUUGAGUAGUGGAGAGGAAAGUGGAAUUCCUAGUGUAGUGGUGAAAUACGUAGAUAUUAGGAGGAAUACCAGUAGCGAAAGCGACUUUCUGGACACAAACUGACGCUGAGGUACGAAAGCGUGGGGAGCAAACAGG
Molecule: ribosomal RNA, 403 nt
Filed under: bacterium
Lineage: Bacteria
Description: partial 16S ribosomal RNA
Rfam family: Bacterial small subunit ribosomal RNA
Source: RNAcentral